CCUACGGGAGGCUGCAGUGGGGAAUAUUGGACAAUGGGGGCAACCCUGAUCCAGCCAUGCCGCGUGUGUGAAGAAGGCCCUCGGGUUGUAAAGCACUUUCAGUGAGGAAGAACGCCUGGUGGUUAAUACCCAUCAGGAAAGACAUCACUCACAGAAGAAGCACCGGCUAACUCCGUGCCAGCAGCCGCGGUAAUACGGAGGGUGCGAGCGUUAAUCGGAAUUACUGGGCGUAAAGCGCGCGUAGGUGGCUUGAUAAGCCGGUUGUGAAAGCCCCGGGCUCAACCUGGGAACGGCAUCCGGAACUGUCAAGCUAGAGGGCAGGAGAGGAGGGUAGAAUUCCCGGUGUAGCGGUGAAAUGCGUAGAGAUCGGGAGGAAUACCAGUGGCGAAGGCGGCCUUCUGGACUGACACUGACACUGAGGUGCGAAAGCGUGGGUAGCAAACAGGAUUAGAUACCCGAGUAGUC
This 465-nucleotide ribosomal RNA is filed under the name Vreelandella stevensii. RNAcentral describes it as "partial 16S ribosomal RNA". It matches the Rfam family "Bacterial small subunit ribosomal RNA", at positions 338 to 795 of the family's 1533-position model. Lineage: Bacteria; Pseudomonadati; Pseudomonadota; Gammaproteobacteria; Oceanospirillales; Halomonadaceae. The record is from RNAcentral.